RNAcentral lists this ribosomal RNA (253 nucleotides) under uncultured bacterium. RNAcentral describes it as "partial 16S ribosomal RNA". It matches the Rfam family "Bacterial small subunit ribosomal RNA", at positions 524 to 776 of the family's 1533-position model. The record is from RNAcentral.
UACAGAGGGUGCAAGCGUUAAUCGGAAUUACUGGGCGUAAAGCGUGCGCAGUCGGUUAUUUAAGUCGGAUGUGAAAUCCCCGGGCUCAACCUGGGAAUUGCAUUCGAUACUGGAUAGCUAGAGUUCGGCAGAGGGAAGUGGAAUUUCAGGUGUAGCGGUGAAAUGCGCAGAUAUCAGGAGGAACACCGGUGGCGAAGGCGGGUCUCUGGGCCGAUACUGACGCUGAGGAGCGAAAGCGUGGGGAGCGAACAGG